GCUUAAAAGCUAGCCUACCCACAAUUUAAGAAAACCCAAACAUAAACCAGAAAUUAAUAAAUCCAAGGUAAAAAUUAAAUCAUUCUUCCACCCCAGUAUGGGCGACAGAAAAGGAACUAAAUAGAGCAAUAGAGAAAGUACCGUAAGGGAAAGCUGAAAGAGAAAUGAAACAACUCAUUCAAGCCCAUCAAAGCAGAGAUAAAAACUCGUACCUUUUGCAUCAUGAUUUAGCUAGCAAACUCGGGCAAAGAGAACUUUAGUCCAAGUCCCCGAAACUAGACGAGCUACUCCGAGACAGCCUAUCAUAGGGCCAACCCACCUCUGUAGCAAAAGAACGGGAAGAGCUCCGAGUAGAGGUGACAAACCUAACGAGCCUAGUAAUAGCUGGUUAUCCAAGAAACGAAUAGAAGUUCCACCCUCUAGACAUUCUCCCCCCUCCCCUUAUUCAUAUUACAAUACUCGGCCCGGAGAAACUAGAAGAGUAAUUCAAGAGAGGUACAGCUCCCUUGAACCAAGAUACAACUUUAUAAGAAGGCUAAAGAUCACAAUCAGUCAAGGAAAAUUGUUCUAGUGGGCCUAAAGGCAGCCACCUAUAAAGAAAGCGUUAAAGCUCAUACAAUUAAAUAUACCCAAUUAUACCGAUAAAACAUCUUAAACCCCUACAUAUACUGGAUCAUCCCAUGCACUACAUGGAAAAGACUAUGCUAAAAUGAGUAAUAAGGAAGUACGACUUCCUCCCAGCACAAGUGUAAAUCAGACGGACAAACCACUGAAAAUUAACGACCCCAAACAAAGAGGGAACUGCACNACACAAAUAUAAACNAGNAAAACACCCAAAGACAAUCGUUAACCCCACACAGGANUGCCACCAAGGAAAGACUAAAAGAAGAGAAGNACUCGGCAAACCCAAGCCUCGCCUGUUUACCAAAAACAUCGCCUCUUGCAAACAAAGAAUAAGAGGUCCCGCCUGCCCUGUGACAAUUAGUUCAACGGCCGCGGUAUUUUGACCGUGCAAAGGUAGCGCAAUCACUUGUCUUUUAAAUGAAGACCUGUAUGAAUGGCAUUACGAGGGCUUGACUGUCUCCUCCCUCCAGUCAAUGAAAUUGAUCUCCCCGUGCAGAAGCGGGGAUACUAACAUAAGACGAGAAGACCCUGUGGAGCUUUAAAUUAAGAGUAGACCCUGUCAAUGAUAACCCCACAAAAAGAAUCAAACCAAAGGAAUUACUACUCUAAUAUUUUUGGUUGGGGCGACCACGGGGGAAAAGAAGCCCCCACGAGGACUAGGAAAAACUUCCUGAAACUAAGAGCCACAGCUCUAAGAGACAGAAUUUCUGACCUAACAGAUCCGGCAACCAAGCCGAUCAACGGACCGAGUUACCCCAGGGAUAACAGCGCAAUCCCCUCUCAGAGCCCCUAUCGACGAGGGGGUUUACGACCUCGAUGUUGGAUCAGGACAUCCUAAUGGUGCA
This 1469-nucleotide ribosomal RNA is filed under the name Guentherus altivela (highfin tadpole fish). RNAcentral's name for it is "16S rRNA". It matches the Rfam family "Bacterial large subunit ribosomal RNA", at positions 135 to 2557 of the family's 2925-position model. Lineage: Eukaryota; Metazoa; Chordata; Actinopteri; Ateleopodiformes; Ateleopodidae. The record is from RNAcentral.